RNAcentral lists this ribosomal RNA (253 nucleotides) under uncultured bacterium. Its description in RNAcentral is "partial 16S ribosomal RNA". It matches the Rfam family "Bacterial small subunit ribosomal RNA", at positions 524 to 776 of the family's 1533-position model. The record is from RNAcentral.
UACAGAGGUCCCAAGCGUUGUUCGGAUUCAUUGGGCGUAAAGGGUGCGUAGGUGGCAUGGUAAGUCGGGUGUGAAAUCCCGGGGCUCAACCCCGGAACUGCACUCGAUACUGCCGUGCUCGAGUACUGGAGAGGAGACUGGAAUUUACGGUGUAGCAGUGAAAUGCGUAGAUAUCGUAAGGAAGACCGGUGGCGAAGGCUAGUCUCUGGACAGUUCCUGACGCUGAGGCACGAAGGUCAGGGGAGCAAACGGG